AGAGUUUGAUCCUGGGCUCAGGAUGAACGCUGGCGGCGUGCAUAAUACAUGCAAGUCGAGCGAAAUGGAUUAAGAGCUUGCUCUUAUGAAGUUAGCGGCGGACGGGUGAGUAACACGUGGGUAACCUGCCCAUAAGACUGGGAUAACUCCGGGAAACCGGGGCUAAUACCGGAUAACAUUUUGAACCGCAUGGUUCGAAAUUGAAAGGCGGCUUCGGCUGUCACUUAUGGAUGGACCCGCGUCGCAUUAGCUAGUUGGUGAGGUAACGGCUCACCAAGGCAACGAUGCGUAGCCGACCUGAGAGGGUGAUCGGCCACACUGGGACUGAGACACGGCCCAGACUCCUACGGGAGGCAGCAGUAGGGAAUCUUCCGCAAUGGACGAAAGUCUGACGGAGCAACGCCGCGUGAGUGAUGAAGGCUUUCGGGUCGUAAAACUCUGUUGUUAGGGAAGAACAAGUGCUAGUUGAAUAAGCUGGCACCUUGACGGUACCUAACCAGAAAGCCACGGCUAACUACGUGCCAGCAGCCGCGGUAAUACGUAGGUGGCAAGCGUUAUCCGGAAUUAUUGGGCGUAAAGCGCGCGCAGGUGGUUUCUUAAGUCUGAUGUGAAAGCCCACGGCUCAACCGUGGAGGGUCAUUGGAAACUGGGAGACUUGAGUGCAGAAGAGGAAAGUGGAAUUCCAUGUGUAGCGGUGAAAUGCGUAGAGAUAUGGAGGAACACCAGUGGCGAAGGCGACUUUCUGGUC
Molecule: ribosomal RNA, 748 nt
Filed under: Bacillus cereus
Lineage: Bacteria; Bacillati; Bacillota; Bacilli; Caryophanales; Bacillaceae
Description: bacterial SSU rRNA
Rfam family: Bacterial small subunit ribosomal RNA
Source: RNAcentral